UGGCUCCAGCAACAGAUUAACCCAUUGGUGU
This 31-nucleotide non-coding RNA is filed under the name Mus musculus (house mouse). Lineage: Eukaryota; Metazoa; Chordata; Mammalia; Rodentia; Muridae. The record is from RNAcentral.